This 404-nucleotide unclassified non-coding RNA is filed under the name soil metagenome. RNAcentral's name for it is "partial contains 5.8S ribosomal RNA, internal transcribed spacer 2, and large subunit ribosomal RNA". The stretch from base 1 to 121 matches the Rfam family "5.8S ribosomal RNA", at positions 35 to 154 of the family's 154-position model. The record is from RNAcentral.
GAUGAAGAACGCAGCGAAAUGCGAUAAGUAAUGUGAAUUGCAGAAUUCAGUGAAUCAUCGAAUCUUUGAACGCACCUUGCGCCCUUUGGCCAUUCCGAAGGGCAUGCCUGUUUGAGUAUCAUGAACACCUCAACUCUCAUGGCUUGCCAUGAUGAGCUUGGACUUUGGGGGUCUUGCUGGCCUGCGGUCAGCUCCUCUCAAAUGAAUUAGCUUUCCAGUGUUUGGUUGGCAUCACAGGUGUGAUAACUAUCUACGCUUGUGGUUUCCACCAGGUAACCCUCAGUAACAUGGGGGUUUGCUGGAGCUCAUAAAUGUCUCUCCUCAGUGGGGACAGCUCUUUGAACAUUUGAUCUCAAAUCAGGUAGGACUACCCGCUGAACUUAAGCAUAUCAAUAAGCGGAGGA